Molecule: long non-coding RNA, 784 nt
Organism: Lotus japonicus
Lineage: Eukaryota; Viridiplantae; Streptophyta; Magnoliopsida; Fabales; Fabaceae
Exons: 2
Source: RefSeq, a predicted model, not a curated record
AGUGUGCAAGUGCAAGUGCAAGUGUAGUGCACCAGAGUGUGCCAGCGAGAGAGCACCAGAGGGUGCCUCUGGGCACCAGAGUGUGGUGAGGUUGGAAGAGCAAUUGUAUGAGAGCUCUGAGUGUGUGUGAGGCCAGAGAUAGAGAGUUGAGUGAUUGUAAUGUUUGUAUUAAUGAGAAUACAAUGUUCCUCCUCCGUGGACGUAGGCAUUCAGGCCGAACCACGUUAAAUCUUUGCCUCCUUUAUGUUCCUCGUCUCGCACCGGUCCCAACAAAUUGAACUAAAAAUGUGAUAAUGGAUUACGGGAGGCAUUUUAAAAGUUUAGGGACCAAGUUGAAGGCGGUUGACACAUUCAGGGACCAAGUUGGCUAUUUACCCCUUCUGUUCACACACAUGUCAAUAUAUAUAACAUAUCCAAAUUGAUCUUUUGUUUUCUUCCCUCUAGCAUAAUAUAUUUUAAUCUUAUAAAAGAUGGUGUUUUAACAUGUUUGUUUUGUCUGUUUCUUUUUGCGAUUUGCUAUAUAUGAGGAUUGUGCUCGUUGAUCUUAUCAAAAGAUGCAUGCGGUUAAAAUGUUUGUCUAACAACAUUAUCAGAUGAAGUGCAUGUAGAGAGGGCCUAGGUGUUCAUCCUCUUCCUCCACUUUUUUUGGACAAUUUCCUCUGCCUCCACUUGUUUAUCCAAAAAUGAUAGUAAUAGACAAAAGUGGAGGUUUGGUGUUUCUAGUGACAUUUUAGCCUCCUUAAUUGUUACGAUAAUAUAUACCCGCAUUCAACCGGAUUGCAUA